Chrysemys picta bellii (western painted turtle) is the source of this 7449-nucleotide non-coding RNA. The record is from RefSeq and is a predicted model, not a curated record. Lineage: Eukaryota; Metazoa; Chordata; Testudines; Emydidae.
GCCACUGGGGGCUAUUCCGAGAGCCCCACCUACUCAAUGUCAUGGGCCAGCAGGGGCUGCACCGCGGCUAGGGCUGCUUGUGUCCCCCCAGCCGGGCAGCUCUCGGCCUCUCAGUGCUUUGGGGACCGGCGGAGCUCAGCGCUCGGGACGUUGCCGGUCCAAGGCCCUGCCUUUACUAGUUCUGGCUCCGACUAGUCAGUGCUAGCGGCAGCCUCACCUCCGCCAGCUCUGGAGGCAGUCAUCCCUGCUGGGGACCCACAGAAAAUGUUCGAAUUGGGCCCUGCACUUCCUAAAGCCGGCCCUGCCAACCUGGACCAUACCAUGUCCCUGAAGGACACCAGAAUCUGGUAGAUUGUGUUUGGGAUUUUCAAAAGUACAAAGUGACUUAGGAGCACAACUCCCAUUGACUUUCAAAAACGUUGCCCUAUGUAAAUAUUUCUGGUGAAAUGUUCUUAAGAACAAACGCUUCCAUCCAGUUGAAGACAAACUGUGGUUGACCCAACUGUGUAAAUGAGAAGAACUUUCACAAAUGUUAUCACAUAACAAGACCAUACACAUCCCUGAAGGAAAAAAAAUCUGAAUGUCAUUUUUUCCAGAUCCUACUGAGUUCAGUCACAAUAUCAGAACACAGCAAGUAAGAUUAAAACAAAUGAAGUUCCUCUGUGGAGCAAAAAACCAAGAUCUAUUGCUGUUGCAUCAGACUUCAGCAUUGAACACUGCUGCUCACCAGAAAUCUAUUUUACCAUCCCCAGAGCAGCUUUUUCACUAAUGGUCCAGUAGAUGGAGAGCUUGCACUUCCCCCUACUGGACGCGGCAGGGUGUGUGUACUAGAAUACAUAUCCUGCUACAGGAUUUUAAUUGGGUAGGUAGGGGGGAAAAGUGUGCAGUUCGUAACAUACUAUUUAAAUCUUAAGGCUCAUCUUCACAGGAAAAUGAACUGGUAUAGCUACUGAGGCUCCCCAUGUGGACACUAUUCCAAAAUAAAAGUGACUUUAUUCCAGCAUAAUUACUGCUCUCACAAAAUGGAAUAAUUAUUCCAGGGAAAAAAUGACUCAUUCUGGAAUAAUAUCCAUGAAGGGAGUUAUUCUGCAAUAGAUAUUCUGGGCAAUUUCCCUGUAUAGAAAAGCCCUUACACUGAUCCAGUAAAGGGAAGACAAGAUGUCCCAUCUACUAAAAUAGAAAUCUGUUUGAUAGGGUUUCUGGAAAGGGUUGAGGUUAUGCUUCCCAGAACAAUGAGGGAGUAAUAAAGGAGUUUUUGUAGGUGGCCGGCUGAGUUCCUGCUGAGUUGAUGAUUUAAAUAGUGCUAGGAUUUUAUUCUGUUGUUAAUGAUGUGUGACAGUGCCUGAAGUUUCAUACAGGCAAUGGAUUUCCCUACAUCCCCCUGAACUCCCACAUUGCCCCCAGUGGUCAAAUAGUUGCCAGUUUAGUCAUUUUCCAACAUCCCCUCCUCCCCCCAUCGAUUUGAACACCCAAUCUAAUUUCAAUUCCUGGUGAAGACUCUGGCAUCUUUUAUUAUUUGAAUCUAAAUAAAUAAAAUAGACUAGGCUCACUGGGGACAGUGAGGAGGGUUUCCGUUGGAAAAGUGUAAUGGAAAUAAGUGUCCCCUCUACAAAAAGAGCUUCCCUGUUAAAUCAGAGAAAUGUGUAAUUUCCAUUUCUUCCAAAGAGUGACAUUUUAAAAUAUAAUACAGUCCCAGCUAAAAUCUGAAUUCUGUGAGGUUGCAGCAGUAAGUUAUUAUUUUGAUUUCUGUGUACUGCAUCUUUAGAUUUCUAGGAGUCUGCUGUUUAGAGACGGCAGCUGCACUUUUAUGAAGCAGAAAAAUUUUGCAUGUUACAGAGAAGACACACACAAUGCUCUUUCAUAGAGACUUUACUUUUGUUCUUUUGUUGUUUUCCUUAACCUGAUAUAACAGUUUUCUCAGAAAAAUACGUUUUACUCAUUAGAUUGAGAGAAACAUAAGCUCCAUCUAGAUAUACAAACACACAGUAAACUUUCAAAUGAGACCAUAAAAAGCAAUGUUUGCUGGAGCCAUCAAAGAUCUCAUCAUACUUUUCAUAACCAUAGCAAAUCACCUCACCCUAUUAGCAGCCAGAGUUCCCUGCAGUGACUGAUUACCAACCUCUCAUCCUAGAGGUGCUUGCAUUUCUGUGCUAUUGUGUGUCUGUUACCUUUUGAUUCCAAAGUGUAAAUAUGCCACACUCAUUUUGGUUCAAGAUGGCCCAAUCCUCCUUUUUUAUAUUCUUGUCUCUCCUCUCUUUGCUAAAGGUAAUGAGGGACACAGUAUAAAGGAUUUGCGACAUUUAGAUGUAGUUUUCAUUCUCUGUUUCAUCCUCUAACACUGUAUUUUUUUGUGGUCAUUUCUGUCUGUUCACCCAGGGGCAGAUUAGGGUUUUGUGGGGCCUCUGGGCUAGAGCAAGUGGGGGCCUCUCCCCAUCCCUUCUGCCUGCAGUUCGCCCUCUGCCCCACUCCUGCCAUGGAAAUGGGGUCGGGAUGUGGGAGCUUGCCCUGCUCCACCCGCCCAUUGGUCACUGUGCCCACCUUAGGCGUGGUCUACACGAUUUACUUCAGUAUAAUUAUGUUACUCAAGGUCUGAAAAAUCCACUGCCUUCAGCGACGUAGUUAUAUUGACCUUAAUCCCUCUUGUAGACAGUGCUAUGUCGGCGGGAGAGUGUCUUCUGCCGAGAUAGCUACCGCCUCUCGGGAAGGUGGAUUUAUUAAACCGACGGGAGAGCUGCACCGAUGUACAUUGGUAGUGUAGCGCUUCCCUGAGAUCUUCAGUAAAUUCCAAUCCGUGACUGAGAAAUGUUGGGUUCUCUCUGCUUGAGAUGUAUCAAUGAAUUCCUGUAGAUGAAAUGUCCUCCGUCAUUGUUAGCACUUGCACUAAUCAAGCAGACUGUGUAAAUAAUGAGCUUGUCAACAAUGUUCAGGUUAAUGAACCGGCACUUUACAAGACACAGCUGAAGUUAAAUGCAUCAGAUUAGUAGUAAUGGAGAAUGAUUUCAGCAGUUCUGAGUUGAUGGUUUCUGCAGCUUCUGGAGGGGUGGUUUUCCUACUCCCUAGUGCUAGACAGACCUCACAAUGACUUAAGUAGUUAGACGUUUCUAAGCAUUUUCAAAUUGCUUUCAUGUUACCCUUGAAUGUAAAUUGAACAGUGACUGUACUACAGCAGUUAGCAUUAACACCUCUUUGGUUUUGCCUUUAAUAAGCAAAUCCAGUAAUAACCCCUACAAAAUGGGUGUGUUUCAUAAAAGUAAGGCCCAGAUUUGUAAAGGUAUGUAGGCCUUUCUGUAUGCAGUGUUGCACUGCUUUAGUGAUUUUGGAACCUACAUAUUUUCAAAAGGGAUCUAGGCACUUAGGAGUCUAAAUCACUUCAGAUCCUAGAUCCCUUUUGAAAAUAUUUAGGUUUCUAAAUCAGUUAUGUGUUGUUAUACCGAGUGCAAUUCCUAAAUACCUUUAAAAAUCUGUGCUUAAAUAUGAUUUUAAAAAAUAGCAAUUAAGAUAAUUUUCUUCUUUUUAAACUAUUUUUCAGGAGAUUAAACCUGAGUUUUAUUCGUCAGUGGAUUUACAUGCUACGAGUUGCCGCAGUUUUGACAUUUCACUAGUAGAGUCAUAGAAAAAUCUAUAUUAAGCCCCGCGCUCCUGCCAUCUCUGAGAAGCAUGGAUCCUGCACAGCUCUGUGCUAUUGUGAUGAGCAUUGCGAGCACAGGACAAUAUUUGCGGAGCUGCCAGAGGAGCCAUAGGGAACAUGAUUCUUUGGAGGCUAGAUUGCUGUGGGACAGAUCAAAACAAUUCAAGGUUGUUGUUGGCAUUCACAGAGCAGCUGCAGACAGUGGAGUGCCAGUUCUGGGUGUGAGAAACAAGCACUGACUGGUGAGAUUGCAUUGUUAUGCAGGUUUGCAAUGAUGAGCAGUGGCUGCAGAACUUUCGAAUGCGCAAGGCCACAUUCCUGGAUCUGUGUGCAGAGCUCACUCCAGCCCUCCAGUGCAACGACACCAGAAUGAGAUCUGCACUGACAGUGGAGAAGUAAGCGGUGAACGCUGUGUGGAUGCUUGCAACAGCAGAUUGCUACCGAUCAGUCGGGAAUCAAUGUGGAGUUGGGAAAUCUAGAGUGGGGGUUGCUGUGAUGCAAAUGUGCAGGGCCAUUAAUUACAUUCUACUAUGAAGGACUGUGACUGGGCAACAUGCAGGACACAGUGCAUGGUUUUGCAGCAAUGGGGCACCUGAAUUGCAGUGGGGUGAUAGAUGGCAUGCACGCAUCUCCCUAUUUUGACACCAGACCACCUUGCCUCAGAAUACAUCACCAGAAAGGGCUACUUUUCUAUGGUAUUGCAAGCACUGGUGGAUCACUGGAGACAUUUUACCAACAUCAAUGUUGGCUGGUCAAGGAAGGUGUAUGAUGUUCACAUCUUUAAGAACACAGGCCUGUUCAGAAAGCUGCAAUCGGGGAGUUUUUUCAAGACCAGAGGAUUACUAUUGGGGAUGUUGAAAUGCCAAUAGUGAUCCUAGGAGACCCAGCCUACCCUUUACUCCCAUGGCUGAUGAAGCCGUACACAGGCCACCUCAACAGCAGCAAGGAGCACUUCAACUAGAGGCUCAGUAGGUGCAGAAUACCGUUACCACCUUGGAGCUCUGGUCCCCCCCAACCAAUGUCCCAUUUCCAGUCAUGGCCAUUCCUGAUGCUUCAGAGGAAGGAAAUUAAAAAAAAUCUCCCAAAACAUAUUGAGGGACCGGGAGGGAACGGAAUCUCUUCCUGACCCUGGCCGGCUAAAACCCUGAAGUAUGAACUUUAGAAACAUAAGACAAACUCAUGGGUGGCAGGUAUCAAAGGCAGAGGAAGGCUCAGCCUACCCAAACUGCCGGUGUGGCCGCACCUGUACUUCACCCCCAGACCUCCUCCUGCUUCCUGCCAGGGGCCUGCGGCUUUUUUUCCCCAUGUGGCCGAGCCCUGGGCCAGUGGCACCUGAACUGUGGGGGAGGGGGGCCAUAGCCCUCCCACUUCUUGAAAGUGGACUGGCCUGACCCGCCCAGUUUUCACCAGGACAGACCCCACCCCUUACCCUCUGUCCAGGCCAGAGUGGAGCCCGGGCAGCUGUGGGGAACCACAGUGGACCCUCCAUGUGCCUGGGGGGCUAAGAGCAGCCCCCAGCCCAUGUCUCUGCCCCCCCAAAGCUCCCCACCCACCCAGGGCAGGUGUGGGUUCCGCAACUUCAUACCGGCUCCCCACAGCUGCCUGCGCAGCUCUUUCCGAGCCGAUUCCGGCUGGGGUGGGGCCUCGGAGUUGCAGCUUGGCCAUGGUAAGAGCUGCACGGGCAGGUGUGAGGCGCCACGGAGUUGCGGACCCUGCAUCUGCCCCAGGUGGGGGAAGGAAGGGGCAGGACCCCAGGCAGAAUGGGCGAGCUAGCCAGGGGCUAACCUACGUAGGCCUGUCGGUCACCCACCGCCCAUAGACAAACUGGAGAAGAGCCCAGGGGGUGUUGGGCCCUGCCCCCUACCAUCACAAGUAAUCCCAUUAUACAGUGCACUCAAAUUUGUCCAGCUCUCUUUUGCAACUAAUUAAGGUGUUUGUCCCCACAGAUGCUGUUCCAGAACCUCACCCCUCUGAUGGUUAGAAACCUUCUUCUAAUUUCCAACCUGAAUUUGUUCAUGGCCAGUUUAUAUCCAUAUGUUCUUAUACCAAUAUUGUUGUUUAGCUUAAGUAGCUCUUCAUCCUCCCUGGUAUUUUCUUCCUUUCCCCCCCACAAUCUAGAGAGAGCAAUUAUAUCUCCUCUCAGCCUUCUUUUUGCUAGACUAAACAAGCCAAGCUCGUCCUGUCAUUUCUCAUCAAAUAGGCCCUCUAGUCUCCUGAUUAUCCUAGUAGCUCUUCUCCGUACCUGUUCCAGUUUAAAUGAAUUUUUCUUAAAUACCCUUAGAUCUUUGUCCACCCCGUGCUUUGCUGCACAUUGAGCUACCCACAUUUGCCAUCCUUGAUAGUCAACUACCCUUCUCUCCAAAUCUUCCCAUUUCAAGUUGAGGUGCUUGAUGUUGUUCAGAACUGUUCGUUUCCAUGUUGAUUGCAGUCUUCCUCUCUUUCUUCUUGCGUUUUCUGGCUUCCAUUCAAGGGCGGUAUUUGGUAAGCAUUCUUUUUCCAUUCUCAGCACAUAUCCCAGCCGCUGAUGUCUUCUUUUCUAGAUUAUUUGUGAGAGGGUGCCUUGUCCAGUCAUUUUUCUGACUUCUUCAUUUGUCUUCCUGUCUAUAUAUUAUUCCCAAUAUUCUUCAGACAUUUGUGAUGAAAUGCAUCCAGCUUUUGUAUCUCUUUCUUGGUAAGUUGCCAUGUCUCACUGCUAUAUGUUGUGAUUGCGAUAACAAUUGCUUUGUACACAUUCAGUUUUGUGUUGAGGGAGAUGUUUUUGAGUUGCCAGAUGUUUUUGAGUCUUCCAAAUGCAGCCUUUGCCUUCCCAAUUCUUUUUAUUUCCUCGGAACUAGUGCCAUCUUGGCUCAUGGUACUUCCAAGAUACGUAAAAUUGUCCACCUUCUCGAGUUUCUCUUCAAUUUUGAUUUCUGUCCCUAUAAUCCCAAUUAACAUAACUUUACAUUGUAUCUCAAAUCUAUCUUCUCCAUUACUUCUUUUAGUUGGUUUGUGCAUUUUUGUAGUCCGUUGGCAUCUUCACUGAUAAGAGCGAUGUCGUCAGCAAAGUCCAGAUCAAAUAGCCUUGAAUCAUUCCAUUUUAGGCCAUUUGUAUCACUGUUGCAUUGUUUUAACUCAUAGUCGAUGACUAGCGUAAACAAAAAGGGAGACAGGACACACCCUUGCCUUACACCUGUCUUGAUGCUGAAUGGCUUACUCAAUCCAUUUUCCAUUUUAAUGCAGCAUUUUGAGUUGGUGUAGAAUGUUUCUUAAACAUAGGUAACUGGAAUUGUACACAGUAUUCCAAAUGAGGUCUUAUCAGUGCUUUGUACAACAGCAUUUAUACUUCUCUCUCUCUAUUGGAAAUGCCUCACCUAAUAUAUCCUAGGAUCGCAUAUGCCUUUUUUACAGGUAGCUCAGUCAUCCUGUGAUCAGCUCACAUGCCCAGUAUCUCUCUCCUCCUCUGUCAUUUCCAACUGAUGAGCCCCCAGUUUGCAGUAGAAAUUUUUACUAUUAGACCCUAAGUUCAUGGCCUUGUACUUUGUACUAUUGAAUUUCAUCCCAUUUCUGUCACUCAUUUUCAGGGUCAUCCAGAUCUUCUUGUGUAAUACUCCAAGCUUCCUCCGUAUUGACAAUUUCUCCCAACUUUGUAUCAGCAGCAGAUUUCAUUAGUACACUCCUACUUUUUGUGCCAAAGUCACUAAAAAAAUAUUAAACAAGCUUUCCCCCCCCAAGAUUGAUCCUUGAAGAACUCCACUAGUAACCUCCUUCCAGUCCGAUAAUUCACCUUUCAGCAUAACUGAUUGCCUUCUCUCCUUUAGCCUGUUCCUUAUCCAUCUUACAAU